This 445-nucleotide ribosomal RNA is filed under the name Aleiodes sp. BCLDQ00407. RNAcentral's name for it is "LSU rRNA". Lineage: Eukaryota; Metazoa; Arthropoda; Insecta; Hymenoptera; Braconidae. The record is from RNAcentral.
CCUGAGAAACCCAAAAGAUCGAAUGGGGAGAUUCAUCGUCAGCUCAUUUUGUAUAUGUAUGAGUUAUGAUGCGGGUUACUACUUGUAGUAUUGCCUGCACAUUCUUAUAUAUUUAGUUGCAAGAUGUUGUCGGCGUGCACUUCUCCUCUAGUAGGACGUCGCGACCUGUUGGGUGUCGGUCUACGGCCCAAGUGAUAGUCUUUAAUAAAAUUUAAAAAGUAUUAAAGAUCCUUGGUGUUUUCUGACCGGCUACUUGGCAGUAUUCGUACGGUAUUUAGCCGCUAAAUUUAUUAAGCGUCCAUAUCCGUCACAAGCGAGGUUAAUUUACUGAUAGUACGGACCUAGUGCCGUCGUUGGUAUUAGCCAGCUGUUGGUUGUACGGUAUUCUAGGACUGGCUAAAAUUAAUUACCGGUCGGCGAUGCUACUGCUUUGGGUACUUUCAGG